CUGCAUGUUUUGGCCCUAGGCCAUCGUUGGCCCCUCUGUAUUUCUGUAGAGGGGGCAAGUACAAACAUGCUAGAUCAACACUUUGGAGUUAACAGGGCCACCAGUCUCUCAAGGUCAGGCUGAGUUGGUAGUAUAAUACUCCAACACUG
Small nucleolar RNA from Scomber japonicus (chub mackerel), 149 nucleotides. RefSeq annotates it as small nucleolar RNA U109. The transcript has a single exon. Lineage: Eukaryota; Metazoa; Chordata; Actinopteri; Scombriformes; Scombridae. The record is from RefSeq and is a predicted model, not a curated record.